CAAACUGGGAUUAGAUACCCCACUAUGCUUAGCCUUAAACCCAGAUGUAUUCUUACACACACAUCCGCCCGGGUACUACGAGCACAGCUUAAAACCCAAAGGACUUGGCGGUGUCUCAGACCCACCUAGAGGAGCCUGUUCUAUAACCGAUAACCCCCGUUAAACCUCACCACUUCUUGUUAAUACCGCCUAUAUACCGCCGUCGUCAGCUUACCCUGUGAAGGUCUAACAGUAAGCAAAAUGGGCCCGCCCAAAAACGUCAGGUCGAGGUGUAGCGUACGAAGUGGGAAGAAAUGGGCUACAUUUUCUAUAACUAGAAUAUUAAACGAACGGCACUAUGAAAAUUAUUGCCUGAAGGUGGAUUUAGUAGUAAAAAGCAAACAGAGUGUCCUUUUGAAUUAGGCUCUGAGACGCGCACACACCGCCCGUCAC
This 432-nucleotide ribosomal RNA is filed under the name Ameiurus natalis (yellow bullhead). RNAcentral describes it as "partial 12S ribosomal RNA". It matches the Rfam family "Bacterial small subunit ribosomal RNA", at positions 768 to 1400 of the family's 1533-position model. Lineage: Eukaryota; Metazoa; Chordata; Actinopteri; Siluriformes; Ictaluridae. The record is from RNAcentral.